GAUGAACGCUGGCGGCGUGCCUAAUACAUGCAAGUCGAGCGAACAGACGAGGAGCUUGCUCCUCUGACGUUAGCGGCGGACGGGUGAGUAACACGUGGAUAACCUACCUAUAAGACUGGGAUAACUUCGGGAAACCGGAGCUAAUACCGGAUAAUAUAUUGAACCGCAUGGUUCAAUAGUGAAAGACGGUUUUGCUGUCACUUAUAGAUGGAUCCGCGCCGCAUUAGCUAGUUGGUAAGGUACAGGCUUACCAAGGCAACGAUGCGUAGCCGACCUGAGAGGGUGAUCGGCCACACUGGAACUGAGACACGGUCCAGACUCCUACGGGAGGCAGCAGUAGGGAAUCUUCCGCAAUGGGCGAAAGCCUGACGGAGCAACGCCGCGUGAGUGAUGAAGGUCUUCGGAUCGUAAAACUCUGUUAUUAGGGAAGAACAAAUGUGUAAGUAACUAUGCACGUCUUGACGGUACCUAAUCAGAAAGCCACGGCUAACUACGUG
Molecule: ribosomal RNA, 497 nt
Filed under: uncultured bacterium
Lineage: Bacteria
Description: partial 16S ribosomal RNA
Rfam family: Bacterial small subunit ribosomal RNA
Source: RNAcentral